UACAGAGGUCCCGAGCGUUGUUCGGAUUCACUGGGCGUAAAGGGUGCGUAGGUGGUGAGGAAAGUCGGAUGUGAAAUCUCCGGGCUUAACCCGGAAAUGGCAUUGGAAACUACCUUGCUAGAGGUUUUGAGGGGGGACUGGAAUUCUCGGUGUAGCAGUGAAAUGCGUAGAUAUCAGGAGGAACACCGAUGGCGAAGGCAGGUCUCUGGGCUGACACUGACGCUCAUGCACGAAAGCGUGGGGAGCAAACAGG
RNAcentral lists this ribosomal RNA (253 nucleotides) under uncultured bacterium. RNAcentral's name for it is "partial 16S ribosomal RNA". It matches the Rfam family "Bacterial small subunit ribosomal RNA", at positions 524 to 776 of the family's 1533-position model. The record is from RNAcentral.